AGUGGCAGCUAUCAGCUGCCUUUCCAAUACCCCCACUCAAGUUGGAGCAUAGAGAUCUCAAAUGCCCAACUUGCGAAGAAGAAAAUCAAACUGAUUUUUUCCCAAAGCCUUCGUAAAGAUAUCAGUAGGUUGCAUAGAAGUAUGAACAUACUCCGUUUGAAUGUUUCCAUUUUGUAUCUCAUUAUGAAUAAAGUGACAGUCUACUUCAAUGUGUUAUGUACGUUCAUGGUAGACUGGAUUAGCUGCUAUGUGCAAAGUUGCUUGACUGUCACAAUAUAAAUGCAUAGUUUCAAAAUGUUCAACACCAAGAGAAGUCAAUAAUCCUUUCAACCUCUUGAGUUCACAAGCCAAUCUAUACUUAGCAUCAGCGAAAGAGCGAAACACUGUUUGUUGCUUCUUGGUUUUCCAUGAGAAAAGCGAAUUUCCCAAGAUAACAAAAUAACCAGUUAAAGAUCGUCGUGUCAAAGCACAACUGGCCCAAUUUGAGUCACAAUAAGCAUAUAGUUUUUUUUAUCUCAA
RNAcentral lists this unclassified non-coding RNA (519 nucleotides) under Hevea brasiliensis (rubber tree). The record is from RNAcentral. Lineage: Eukaryota; Viridiplantae; Streptophyta; Magnoliopsida; Malpighiales; Euphorbiaceae.